CAAUGGGGGAACCCUGAUGCAGCGACGCCGCGUGGAGGAAGAAGGUCUUCCGAUUGUAAACUCCUGUUGUUGGGGAAGAUAAUGACGGUACCCAACAAGGAAGUGACGGCUAACUACGUGCCAGCAGCCGCGGUAAAACGUAGGUCACAAGCGUUGUCCGGAAUUACUGGGUGUAAAGGGAGCGCAGGCGGGAAGACAAGUUGGAAGUGAAAUCUAUGGGCUCAACCCAUAAACUGCUUUCAAAACUGUUUUUCUUGAGUAGUGCAGAGGUAGGCGGAAUUCCCGGUGUAGCGGUGGAAUGCGUAGAUAUCGGGAGGAACACCAGUGGCGAAGGCGGCCUACUGGGCACCAACUGACGCUGAGGCUCGAAAGUGUGGGUAUCAAACAGGAUUAGAUACCCUGGUAGUCCAAGGGCGAAUUC
Molecule: ribosomal RNA, 421 nt
Filed under: uncultured bacterium
Lineage: Bacteria
Description: SSU rRNA
Rfam family: Bacterial small subunit ribosomal RNA
Source: RNAcentral